RNAcentral lists this ribosomal RNA (426 nucleotides) under Acroloxus sp. BS-2016. RNAcentral describes it as "partial 16S ribosomal RNA". Lineage: Eukaryota; Metazoa; Mollusca; Gastropoda; Acroloxidae. The record is from RNAcentral.
AGCUAUAAGGAAUUUAUUUUUAGUAAAACCUGCCCAGUGAUUUUUUUUUAACGGCCGCAGUACCAUGACUGUGCUAAGGUAGCAUAAUAAAUUGGCUUUUAAUUAGAGUCUGGAAUGAAUGGAUUUUUAAAGUUAAGCUGUCAUAAAAAUAUUAAUUUUAACUUAUUUAUUUGGUGAAAAUACCAAAAAUUUUUAAAAAAGACGAGAAGACCCUAAGAAUUUAUAUUUUUUUUUGUUGGGGCGACAAAAAGACAUUUUUAACUCUUUGUUUUAUUACUUAUAUAACGAAAUUUUUAAUAAUAAAUAAAUUACCUUAGGGAUAACAGCAUAAUUAGAUUUUUUUUCUGUUUAUGACCUCGAUGUUGGAUUAGAAUCUUUUUUAGCUAGUCGCUAAAAAAUAAUGUUCUGUUCGAACAAAUAAUUUCU